GCUCUAUGGGGCAGCCCCACACAUCGUUACGGGGCACAGCGCUCUAUGGGGCAGCCCCACACGUCGCUAUGGGGCACAGCACUCUAUGGGGCAGCCCCACACCGCUCUAUGGGGCAGAGCACUCUAUGGGGCAGCGCCACACGUUGCUAUGGGGCAGAGCACGCUAUGGGGCAGCCCCACACGUGGCUAUGGGGCACAGCGCUCUAUGGGGCAGCCCCACACGUCGCUAUGGGGCACAGCACGCUAUGGGGCAGAGCACUCUAUGGGGCACAGCACUCUACGGGGCAGCCCCACGCAUCGCUAUUGGGCAGAGCACACUAUGGGGCAGCCCCACACGUUGCUAUGGGGCACAGCACGCUAUGGGGCAGCCCCACACGUCGCUAUGGGGCACAGUGCUCUAUGGGGCAGCCCCAUAUCACGCUAUGGGGCAGCCCCACACGUCGCUAUGGGGCAGAGCACGCUAUGGGGCAGCCCCACACGUCGCUAUGGGGCAGAGCACUCCAUGGGGCAGUCCCACACGUCGCUAUGGGGCAGAGCAC
RNAcentral lists this long non-coding RNA (539 nucleotides) under Gallus gallus (chicken). RNAcentral describes it as "lncRNA (ENSGALG00010000764.1)". Lineage: Eukaryota; Metazoa; Chordata; Aves; Galliformes; Phasianidae. The record is from RNAcentral.